UGUUUGAUGUUCUAACGUUGGCCCCUGAUCGGGGUUGCGGACAGUGUCUGGUGGGUAGUUUGACUGGGGCGGUCUCCUCCUAAAGAGUAACGGAGGAGCACGAAGGUUGGCUAAUCCUGGUCGGACAUCAGGAGGUUAGUGCAAUGGCAUAAGCCAGCUUGACUGCGAGCGUGACGGCGCGAGCAGGUGCGAAAGCAGGUCAUAGUGAUCCGGUGGUUCUGAAUGGAAGGGCCAUCGCUCAACGGAUAAAAGGUACUCCGGGGAUAACAGGCUGAUACCGCCCAAGAGUUCAUAUCGACGGCGGUGUUUGGCACCUCGAUGUCGGCUCAUCACAUCCUGGGGCUGAAGUAGGUCCCAAGGGUAUGGCUGUUCGCCAUUUAAAGUGGUACGCGAGCUGGGUUUAGAACGUCGUGAGACAGUUCGGUCCCUAUCUGCCGUGGGCGCUGGAGAACUGAGGGGGGCUGCUCCUAGUACGAGAGGACCGGAGUGGACGCAUCACUGGUGUUCGGGUUGUCAUGCCAAUGGCACUGCCCGGUAGCUAAAUGCGGAAGAGAUAAGUGCUGAAAGCAUCUAAGCACGAAACUUGCCCCGAGAUGAGUUCUCCCUGAGACUUUAAGUCUCCUGAAGGAACGUUGAAGACGACGACGUUGAUAGGCCGGGUGUGUAAGCGCAGCGAUGCGUUGAGCUAA
Molecule: ribosomal RNA, 689 nt
Filed under: Escherichia coli
Lineage: Bacteria; Pseudomonadati; Pseudomonadota; Gammaproteobacteria; Enterobacterales; Enterobacteriaceae
Description: partial 23S ribosomal RNA
Rfam family: Bacterial large subunit ribosomal RNA
Source: RNAcentral